AUUGAACGCUGGCGGCAGGCCUAACACAUGCAAGUCGAACGGUAACAGGAAGCAGCUUGCUGCUUUGCUGACGAGUGGCGGACGGGUGAGUAAUGUCUGGGAAACUGCCUGAUGGAGGGGGAUAACUACUGGAAACGGUAGCUAAUACCGCAUAACGUCGCAAGACCAAAGAGGGGGACCUUCGGGCCUCUUGCCAUCGGAUGUGCCCAGAUGGGAUUAGCUAGUAGGUGGGGUAACGGCUCACCUAGGCGACGAUCCCUAGCUGGUCUGAGAGGAUGACCAGCCACCCUGGAACUGGGACACGGUCCAGACUCCUACGGGAGGCAGCAGUGGGGAAUAUUGCACAAUGGGCGCAAGCCUGAUGCAGCCAGGCCGCGUGUAUGAAGAAGGCCUUCGGGUUGUAAAGUACUUUCAGCGGGGAGGAAGGGAGUAAAGUUAAUACCUUUGCUCAUUGACGUUACCCGCAGAAGAAGCACCGGCUAACUCCGUG
Molecule: ribosomal RNA, 490 nt
Filed under: uncultured bacterium
Lineage: Bacteria
Description: partial 16S ribosomal RNA
Rfam family: Bacterial small subunit ribosomal RNA
Source: RNAcentral